UUUUGGCUGCUAUAACAGAAUAUCACACACUGGUAAUUAAUAAAGAAUAGAAUUUUAUUUGACUCAUGAUUCUGGAGGCUGGGAAGCCAAAACAACAUUAUACUGGUAUAUGUUGAAGGUCUAGUUGCUGGAUAAUAACAUACACAAAGAUGUGAGGGAGAGAGAGCUUUUUUUUUUUAAUAUAUAACAGAUCCAUUCUUGUUAUAAUUAGCCCAUUCCCAUAAUAAGAACGUUAAUCCAUUCAUGAGGGCAGAGUGCUUAUAGCUUAAUUAAUUUUUAAAGGUUCCACCUGUUAAUUCUAACAUGUUGGCUAUUAAAUUUUAUCCUAAAUUUUGGAGAUGACAUUCAGUGUACAGCAGUAUCUGUUUAGUAGAUACUUUAAUCUUUUUAUUUGUAAGGUAGUGAUAGGUAAGCAGUUACUAUUGUACAUUUGUAGUUUUCUGUCCAUUUUAAGUUUGCUUCUUUUUUUUCUGGUUCUGUCUUUCCUGUGGUAUUGUUCAUUUUUGUUGAGACAAAGUUAUGCUUUCUUGCUCAGACUGAAGUGCAGUGGCAUAUCACAGCUCACUGUAGCCUUAACCUCCUGGGCUCAAAUAAUCGUCCCACCUUAGCCACCCAAGUAGCUUGGACUGCAGACAUGUACCACAACACCCAAGGAGAUUUGAUUCUUCCACCUUGGCCUCCCAAAGUGUUGGAAUUAUAAGCAGGAGACACCAUAUCCAAUGUGUAAUUUUUGUUGUUUGUGUAUGCUUUAAUUACUUUCUCUUUUUCUUUACUAUUUUUUUUUCCUACUGGUUAUCAUGAGACUUAUGUAAAACAUCUUGUAUUUUAAUAGUCUAGUUUAAGAUGAUAACAAUUUAUAGUAUUCUGAAAUUCAGUAUGUAUUUACCAUUUUAGUGACAUUUAUACUUUAGUAUUUUUCAUAUUGUUAGUUAGCAUUUCAUCAUAUCAAUGUGAAGAUUUCUUCCAGACCAUGGCUGGAGAAGGAAAGAAGGUGUGUUUUGCCUGAUUCAGGGACUAUAGAGAGAACCAAGUUCUGCAGGCCUGUCAUCUAAGUCUCAGGGCGGGGAGACCUUCCUUCCCCACGGGUUUGAGGCUAUGGCUAAGUGGUGAGCCUUGGUGAGACGCAGAAAGGAUCCAUCCCAGGCACUUGGCUAGAGCCCCUGAACUUUGACUCACCCACAGCCUCAGAGAACCUACAACCCAUAUUUAUACAUAUCCCUCCUAAGAACAGGCUGACUUCAAGAUGAAACAUUAUCUUAUCUGGGAUCUGAUUUUGCUACCCUCCAUCCUGUGCUUCCUUUCCAACCUUCUUUGUAAACUUAUUUUCUCCUCCCUAUGAAAUAAAACCCUUUUCCACCUAACCUUUGAGAUCCUCAAAGAUCUAAUCAUUUGUACUUUUUCCUUGUUACAACACUUCUUAAGUAACUUCUUAGACAAAGUCUAUAAACAGUCUCAGGACAAUAACAACUCCAUUCUAGAAAGAAUAUCCCAACUUUUCUUCAAUCUCAACCCCAACUGCAUCUGCCUGUCAACUUCCAGCUUACCAAAGCUCUGUAUCUUCUGACAGUGACAAAGGCUCCUUCUAUGGUUGGUGUGAGCAGACUUUGAUGUCUGCAGGGCAGACACCCAGGAAUAAUCAACUGGGCCUUCAGUGGCCCCCUUUUGCAGGGUCAACGUUAGCCUUAGCUUUUAGUCAACGGUCUAAGACUUCUACUUACCAGUUAAAGUCAUUCAAUUAGUUUUCAAUUUAAAAAAUACUUCAUGUUUGAAGAAUCCAGCAAAAAUCAUUCAAAUCUAAGGUUUAAAAGAGAGGAAAUUAUGGUCGGGCAUGGUGGCUCAUGCCUGUAAUCCCUGCAUUUUGGGAGGCUGAGGCGGGCAGAUUACCUGAGGU
This 1891-nucleotide long non-coding RNA is filed under the name Homo sapiens (human). RNAcentral describes it as "HSALNT0402615". The record is from RNAcentral. Lineage: Eukaryota; Metazoa; Chordata; Mammalia; Primates; Hominidae.